UGGGGAAUAUUGGACAAUGGGCGCAAGCCUGAUCCAGCCAUGCCGCGUGAGUGAUGAAGGCCCUAGGGUUGUAAAGCUCUUUCACCGGUGAAGAUAAUGACGGUAACCGGAGAAGAAGCCCCGGCUAACUUCGUGCCAGCAGCCGCGGUAAUACGAAGGGGGCUAGCGUUGUUCGGAUUUACUGGGCGUAAAGCGCACGUAGGCGAACUAUUAAGUCAGGGGUGAAAUCCCGGGGCUCAACCCCGGAACUGCCUUUGAUACUGGUAGUCUUGAGUUCGAGAGAGGUGAGUGGAAUUCCGAGUGUAGAGGUGAAAUUCGUAGAUAUUCGGAGGAACACCAGUGGCGAAGGCGGCUCACUGGCUCGAUACUGACGCUGAGGUGCGAAAGCGUGGGGAGCAAACAGG
Molecule: ribosomal RNA, 404 nt
Filed under: Actinomycetes bacterium
Lineage: Bacteria; Bacillati; Actinomycetota; Actinomycetes
Description: Actinobacteria bacterium partial 16S ribosomal RNA
Rfam family: Bacterial small subunit ribosomal RNA
Source: RNAcentral